AAAUUAAACUAGAGGCUCUAAAGAGCCUGUGUCGCUCACCUUGGUCAAUGUGAAUAUUAAACAAAGGAAGCAGAUGGAUUCAUGACAAAAUUGUGUUUUGGUGAUGGUGAUGUGUUUGUAGAUCUUACUUUACUGAACAUUCUUGCUGCUUACAAUUAUCUCUAUCUAUAAUGAACUUGGCCAAGUAGUUUCAGUGGAAAAUGUUAGUAAAAAUUUACAAAUUUUAUGAAAAUUGUUAAAAAUUGACUAUAAAGGACAAUAACUCCUUAGGGGUCAAUUGACCAUUUCAGUCAUGUUGACUUAUUUGUAAAUCUUACUUUGCUGUACAUUAUUGCUGUUUACAGUUUAUCUCUAUCUAUAAUAAUAUUCAAGAUUAUAACCCAAAACAGUAAAAUUUCCUUAAAAUUACCAAUUUAGGGGCAGCAACCCAACAACGGGUUGUCCGAUUCAUCUUAAAAUUUCCGGGCAGAUAGAUCUUGACCUGAUAAACAAUUUUACCCUUUGUCAGAUUUGCUCUUAAUGCUUUGGUUUUUGAGUUAUAAACCAAAAACUGCAUUUUACCCCUAUGUUCUAUUUUUAGCCAUGGCGGCCAUCUUGGUUAGAUGGCCGGGUCACCAGACACAUUUUUUAAACUAGAUACCCCAAAGAUGAUUGUGGCCAAGUUUGGAUUAAUUUGGCCCAGUAGUUUCAGAGGAGAAGAUUUUUGUAAAAGAUUACUAAGAUUUACGAAAAAAAUGGUUAAAAUUGACUAUAAAGGGCAAUAACUCCUAAAGGGGUCAACUGACCAUUUCGGUCAGUUUGACUUAUUUGUAAAUCUUACUUUGCUGAACAUUAUUGCUGUUUACAGUUUAUCUCUAUCUAUAAUAAUAUUAAAG
Molecule: long non-coding RNA, 875 nt
Filed under: Mytilus galloprovincialis (Mediterranean mussel)
Lineage: Eukaryota; Metazoa; Mollusca; Bivalvia; Mytilida; Mytilidae
Source: RNAcentral